Long non-coding RNA from Canis lupus familiaris (dog), 2160 nucleotides. RefSeq lists it as uncharacterized. The record is from RefSeq and is a predicted model, not a curated record. Lineage: Eukaryota; Metazoa; Chordata; Mammalia; Carnivora; Canidae. The transcript is spliced from 2 exons.
AACAGAGGCUGCGCGUGCCUUGCCUUGCGGAGGGGAAGCCGCCGGGGAUGGCGGGGACGGUUUGCGAGGGUCUGAAAACAAGAACAGGACGAUUCAGGAAAGCGUUUCAGCGGGUGCUUCAGCCGGAGCAAGAAUCGCCCCCCCCCCCCAGGGGGGGAAGGAGCGCGGCUGGGUGACAGCGACAGAAGGCGGCUAAGGGUGUAGUGACAACAUGCCCAGGGAACCCCUGGCCAUCCCCGAAGGUGCCUGGAGUGCAGCGGAGCCCACAGGCGUCCCCGGAGAGCGCGGCCGCAGCGCUGACCUUGCAGCUCAUGGACACGGAUGGGCUGAAACGUCUGGCUGAGUGUGUGCGUGGCUGGGGGACAGGCGGGUGGCACGGCCGUUCCAGGCCUCGUGACCCCAGGGCCCGAGCAGCUGUGCCCAGACUCCCGGUGGCGUCUGCGGGGUCAUGACGGGGGCGACGUGCUUGGGAAGCGGUUUAGCGGAGAACUGAUCUUAGUAUUUCAUAAACGGCUUCGGCCCCACGUUUACGGAAUCGUGACAGGUCUGGAGGAGUCGCCACAAUACCGUUUCUUCAGGGGCCUACGCUACUGAUCUUCUAAUAGGGGAAACAGAUGCUGCAGGAUUUGGGGAUGUCGGGUUCUCAGGCUACACGCACGCUCCCCAGAUCUCACGGAUCGACACACACGCUCCCCCAGUGUAGACACACUCGCAGGCACGCUCUCGCUCAACUGCCCAGCACACCUGCACUCACAGCAGCUCUCGGGCUCCUGCGUGCGCACCCGCUCCCCGCACACGACCCCAUUACCAGCUUCUUUCUCCUUCCAAGCCAACCCCAUCUCCUCCUUUCUCUGUCCCCACCCCACACCCCGUCAAAUCCUAGCCACAGUCCACACAAGCCAUUCAACAGGAUCUCCUAGAGGCAUGCGGAGGAAAACGCAGGACAGUCCCAGACCCCUUCCCCAGCCCAGGUGCCCACUGGACGGCCGCGCCUGCACGUUGGGCGCACACGCUCCCCGGCCAACCCGCUGAGAUCAGAGCCAACGGCCUUGCACUAACCCAACAGAAAGGCCUCCCUUAGGGCCACGGGUGUCUCCCGCUGCACUUUCAGACCCUAGUCGGUGAAGAAGGGUCCGAUGGAGCAGGAUAAGCCUGGAGAUCGCGGAAGGGGGGCUGGUUUGACGGCGGCGGCCCCAAGCAGAACAGAAACUCAGAAGGACAUCAAGCCUUCCUUCUGGCAGUUUCCGGACUUUAUCUUAGACUGGAGAGAGAGAAACUCCCCCUGCAGGCUCCGUGAACUAAGAUGUCAUGUUGCAGAAGCCCACGUGACAAGGAGCUAGACGCGGCCUCUAGGACCCAAGAGCUUCCUCCAGAACUGAAAGGAGGCAUCCGGCUGACAUCCAGCAGAAAUCUGGGAUCCCUCAGUAAUACGGCUGCAAGGAAACAAAGUUCCAGCAACCAGAACAAACACGGAGGGGGAUUUGUCCUCAGUCAAGCCCCCAGAUGAGAAUGCAGCCCAGCCAACACUUGAUUGCAACCUGUGAGGUCCUGAGCAGAGGACCCGGCUGGCCCGUGCCCGGACUCCUGAUCCAUUAAUCAGCAUGAAUGUUAUUCCUCAUGAGAGAAUAAACGUGUGCUGUUUUAGGUUAACUUUGUGCUGAUUUUACAAUCAUGAUAAUCUGUAAUUGUGAUCAGCGAUAUUGUGCUGAUAACUAUGCCUGGCUUUGCUGGGACGUUACCAUGCUGAAGCUACUUUUCUAGGCCUCUGCUAACUCCCAGCUUUCUUGGUUGCAUGCCCCUCUUGACAUGUUCUGCAUAUAUCCUGUCUGUUCCCUAGCUCCCUGGAGAAGGCCCCCUAAGACAGUCCCGUCAUCAUGCACUCAGAGGUGAUAAUUGAAACCGUGGGAGUCAGUGAGAUCACAGGAGAAAGAGCUCGUUGAGAGAAGAUCAAGACAAGGACUGAACCCUGAGGGACACUCGUAUGUAGAGGUGGCUGGUCUGAAUGGAGAUGUGCUGGAAGCAUAAAACGUGUGCCCAAUCUCAGAUGCUUAAUGUGGAAGGAAGAAUGUGAAAUAUCUCAGUAUAUUUCGCAAGCAUUACAUGUUUAAAAGAUAAUAUUUUGGAUGUGUCAGGCUAAAUAAAAUAUAUUAUUAGAUUUAA